GGAUCUGGGAAUUCUUUUUUCGCGAUGUCGGGAUUUAAAUUUAUUUAAAUUCGGGACCUUGUGACUUCGUGUUUUUAAGCCCGGGAUUUCGAGAUCCGGACCCCUUUUACCCCCUACCCCCAAAUGCAGAUCAAUUAUAUUAAUUUAGCAUAAUGAACAAACACGGAAAUCUUAAAUAAACUUAUGCCCGGGAAGAAUCAAUAUUUUCUUCUAGUGUUAUUAUUUGCGUUCUAUUUUAGUCAUACAUCUCCAACUUUCGGACAAUAUUUGUUUACAGUAAAAAAUAAAAACUACAAAGAAUCAUCAAG
RNAcentral lists this long non-coding RNA (308 nucleotides) under Mytilus galloprovincialis (Mediterranean mussel). Lineage: Eukaryota; Metazoa; Mollusca; Bivalvia; Mytilida; Mytilidae. The record is from RNAcentral.